UACGUAGGGACCAAGCGUUGUUCGGAUUUACUGGGCGUAAAGGGUGCGUAGGCGGCUUUGUAAGUCAGUGGUGAAAUACUCCAGCUUAACUGGAGGGGUGCCAUUGAUACUGCGGAGCUUGAGUACAGAUGAGGUAGGCGGAAUUGACGGUGUAGCGGUGAAAUGCAUAGAUAUCGUGAGGAACACCAGAGGCGAAGGCGGUUUCCUGGACAGUUACUGACGCUCAGGCACGAAAGCAUGGGGAGCAAAAGGG
This 253-nucleotide ribosomal RNA is filed under the name uncultured bacterium. RNAcentral describes it as "partial 16S ribosomal RNA". It matches the Rfam family "Bacterial small subunit ribosomal RNA", at positions 524 to 776 of the family's 1533-position model. The record is from RNAcentral.